AUCACCUCAAUUUGAGUUCAUAGUCCAUGUACCCCAAGGGGAGCCUGGUAUAUGCCGCCGCUGGUCCGUAACCGUGAUCGGGGACGAAAUCUGCCAUCAGCCACUGUCCUCUGGGAUGGGAAGGCGCAGAGAGCAGGACAAGCCGAGAGUCAGGAGACCUGGGUACUUGGAGCGUCCACG
Molecule: non-coding RNA, 180 nt
Filed under: Nitrospira moscoviensis
Lineage: Bacteria; Pseudomonadati; Nitrospirota; Nitrospiria; Nitrospirales; Nitrospiraceae
Source: RNAcentral